This 843-nucleotide long non-coding RNA is filed under the name Phaseolus vulgaris (common bean). RNAcentral describes it as "long non-coding RNA (PVUL_LNC003437)". Lineage: Eukaryota; Viridiplantae; Streptophyta; Magnoliopsida; Fabales; Fabaceae. The record is from RNAcentral.
UUAUCUGUUCCGAUAAGGUUUCCGUGCGAUUGCUGAACACGCAGGUGACGAGAUCUACGGGUAAACUCGGUUCUCUGUGUUGGAUUUUAUGAAAUUGGAGGAUUAGGUAAAACAACAACCGCUGUAAAAUCUCAUCUCCAUUAUAGUUAGUUGUUGUUUUUCCUAUUCCACCAAUUUCAUGUAUCACUGUUGUGAGAACGCGGGUUCUUAGUCUCUGUCUUUCAAUGGCUACUUCCAUCGAACGUUAAUCUUUGCAUCAGGAGAACACAGGUACACUGCCUUCUUACUCCGCUUCGAUCUCCAACUAAAUUCAUUUUAAGAUUAUUAACUCAUUUUUUUGUUUUUUUUACUUAUUUUUCUCGAUUUUGGCCAGAAAUUAGUUGACGGAUAUGAGAGUUUUAGGGUUUACUGGUUGUCUGUUUAUAAGAGAUGUUUGAUACUUUUGGAUCUGAUUUCUUCAACUUACAAAAUCUGUUAUCUCAAAAUUGUGAGAUUAAACUUAGUGAACAACAUAAACAAACUUAAAAUGCUUCUACGUAUCCUGAAUUGAUUUUAAGAAAACUUAACUUAUCUGUUAUAAAUUAAUACUUUUAAAUUAAUAGAAGACACUCAUUUCUUGUCAUUUUUCAACCAACUGCUGAGUUAAUUUUAUGGACAGGAUACACAAACAACUGUACUUAUUAUACAUUUUCUUUUCUUUUCUCAUUAUAUUAUAUAUAUUUUAUAAAUCUAUAUUUGUUAUUAUGCUCUUUUUUUAUUAUAUUAUAUACCAUAUAAAUUUAUUAUUACUAUUUUUUCUUUCUUAGGUGUACAUUAAUGUUUUAGGUGCACUGAAACAUUUUC